AUACGUAGGUGGCAAGCGUUGUCCGGAAUUAUUGGGCGUAAAGCGCAUGUAGGCGGUGCCUUAAGUCUGUCGUGAAACUGCGGGGCCUAACCCCGUAUGGCGAUGGAAACUGGGGCACUUGAGUGCAGGAGAGGAAAGGGGAACUCCCAGUGUAGCGGUGAAAUGCGUAGAUAUUGGGAAGAACACCGGUGGCGAAGGCGCCUUUCUGGACUGUGUCUGACGCUGAGAUGCGAAAGCCAGGGUAGCGAACGGGAUUAGAUACCCCGGUAGUCCUGGCCGUAAACGAUGGGUACUAGGUGUGGGAGGUAUCGACCCCUUCCGUGCCGGAGUUAACGCAAUAAGUACCCCGCCUGGGGAGUACGGCCGCAAGGCUUAAACUCAAAUGAAUUGACGGGG
Molecule: ribosomal RNA, 396 nt
Filed under: uncultured bacterium
Lineage: Bacteria
Description: partial 16S ribosomal RNA
Rfam family: Bacterial small subunit ribosomal RNA
Source: RNAcentral